This 548-nucleotide ribosomal RNA is filed under the name uncultured bacterium. Its description in RNAcentral is "bacterial SSU rRNA". It matches the Rfam family "Bacterial small subunit ribosomal RNA", at positions 355 to 895 of the family's 1533-position model. The record is from RNAcentral.
UAGGGAAUCUUCGGCAAUGGGGGGAACCCUGACCGAGCAACGCCGCGUGAGUGAAGAAGGUUUUCGGAUCGUAAAGCUCUGUUGUUAAGGAAGAACGAGUGUGAGAAUGGAAAGUUCAUACUGUGACGGUACUUAACCAGAAAGGGACGGCUAACUACGUGCCAGCAGCCGCGGUAAUACGUAGGUCCCGAGCGUUGUCCGGAUUUAUUGGGCGUAAAGCGAGCGCAGGCGGUUAGAUAAGUCUGAAGUUAAAGGCAGUGGCUCAACCAUUGUAGGCUUUGGAAACUGUUUAACUUGAGUGCAGAAGGGGAGAGUGGAAUUCCAUGUGUAGCGGUGAAAUGCGUAGAUAUAUGGAGGAACACCGGUGGCGAAAGCGGCUCUCUGGUCUGUAACUGACGCUGAGGCUCGAAAGCGUGGGGAGCGAACAGGAUUAGAUACCCUGGUAGUCCACGCCGUAACGAUGAAUGCUAGGUGUUAGGUCCUUUCCGGGACUUAGUGCCGCAGCUAACGCAUUAAGCACUCCGCCUGGGGAGUACGACCGCAAGGUU